GAUUUCUACUUCCUUGCAAGCAAACCAGUAUGGUGAUAUACAGUUUCAUCCACAUGGCCUCAAGUAUUUCAUAAAUUCUGAAUAUGUGAUACUGGCAUCACUUUGAUCAAGCUCUAUACGUUUCCAUUCAUCAUCUAACUUUCGGUAACCCGUGUACCAUCUCCGAUCAACCUCUUUUGAACACCAAAUACAUAAGCUAUCUCCAUUCGUCUCGGAAACCCGUCACUGUUACUGACCACCAGGAGCAACACUAAACCACCAACCGUCGCUGCAGAAUUUCCAACGCAACUAUGGUCACACGCCACCAUUAACAUAACCAGCACCGCUACAGCUCCACCCGCUACAGCUCCACUGGACGCCGAUAACUCCACCACAGGAUAUCACGACCCCCUAAAAGAACGAGUAUAAUAUCAUUGUGCAUCAUCUUUCAAGGUUCUCAUGGUACUCAGGGUGGGGUGUGAAGAGA
This is a long non-coding RNA of Helianthus annuus (common sunflower), 466 nucleotides long. RefSeq lists it as uncharacterized. The record is from RefSeq and is a predicted model, not a curated record. The transcript has 3 exons. Lineage: Eukaryota; Viridiplantae; Streptophyta; Magnoliopsida; Asterales; Asteraceae.